GUGGGGAAUCUUCCGCAAUGGACGAAAGUCUGACGGAGCAACGCCGCGUGAGUGAAGAAGGUUUUCGGAUCGUAAAGCUCUUUCGUUAGGGACGAACGUGCUCUUUGUGAAUAAUGAGGAGUAAUGACGGUACCUAAAUAAGAAGCCACGGCUAACUACGUGCCAGCAGCCGCGGUAAUACGUAGGUGGCAAGCGUUGUCCGGAAUUAUUGGGCGUAAAGCGCGCGCAGGCGGGAUAUCAAGUCUGUCUUAAAAGUGCGAGGCUCAACCUCGUGAGGGGACAGAAACUGGUAUUCUUGAGUGUCGGAGAGGAAAGUGGAAUUCCAAGUGUAGCAGUGAAAUGCGUAGAGAUGUGGAAGAACACCAGUGGCGAAGGCGACUUUCUGGACGAUGUCUGACGCUGAGGCGCGAAAGCUAGGGGAGCGAACGGGAUUAGAAACCCGUGUAGUCC
Molecule: ribosomal RNA, 450 nt
Filed under: uncultured bacterium
Lineage: Bacteria
Description: partial 16S ribosomal RNA
Rfam family: Bacterial small subunit ribosomal RNA
Source: RNAcentral